RNAcentral lists this ribosomal RNA (607 nucleotides) under Geastrum triplex. Its description in RNAcentral is "eukaryotic LSU rRNA". The stretch from base 212 to 366 matches the Rfam family "5.8S ribosomal RNA". Lineage: Eukaryota; Fungi; Basidiomycota; Agaricomycetes; Geastrales; Geastraceae. The record is from RNAcentral.
UUUCCGUAGGUGAACCUGCGGAAGGAUCAUUACUGAAGAAACAAGGGUUUUGAGACUGCGUCCUUCAAUUGGGCGUGUGCUCGACUCUUACUCUUUCAUAUCCCAUACACACCUUUGUGCACCAAGGGGACCCUUGUGUCCCCCUUUUUUUCAUAAAUACCGAGUUAUAUGCAUGUAUAGUUUGUAUACUCUACGGAGUUAUUAUAAAUACAACUUUCAACAACGGAUCUCUUGGCUUUCGCAUCGAUGAAGAACGCAGCGAACGUGCGAAACGUAAUGUGAAUUGCAGAAUUCAGUGAAUCAUCGAAUCUUUGAACGCAUCUUGCGCUCCUUGGUAUUCCGAGGAGCAUGCCUGUUUGAGUGUCGUGAAUAACUCUCAAUUUCAAAUAUUUUAGAAUAUCUGACAUUGGACUUGGGCGUUGUCGUGUUUCUACGACUCGUCCUAAAUGCAUUAGCGAUCUGCCCUGAUCACACACAAUGUGAUAAGUAAAAAAUAAAGCAUUGUUAUGGUUGGGUUUGAAAGAUGGCUUCUAAUCGUCGUAAUGACAAAUAAAAGACCAUGUCGUUUGACCUCAAAUCAGGCAGGACUACCCGCUGAACUUAAGCA